Molecule: ribosomal RNA, 128 nt
Filed under: Chloroflexota bacterium
Lineage: Bacteria; Bacillati; Chloroflexota
Description: Chloroflexi bacterium partial 16S ribosomal RNA
Rfam family: Bacterial small subunit ribosomal RNA
Source: RNAcentral
UGGAUGGCGAGUUUGAUCCUGGCUCAGGAUAAACGCUGGCGGCGUGCCUAACACAUGCAAGUCGAACGAGCUUUCCUCUUUCGGGAGGAGAGCGAGUGGCGGACGGGUGAGUAACACGUGGGUGACCU